Molecule: transfer RNA, 73 nt
Filed under: Helicobacter pylori
Lineage: Bacteria; Pseudomonadati; Campylobacterota; Epsilonproteobacteria; Campylobacterales; Helicobacteraceae
Description: tRNA-Gly
Rfam family: tRNA
About the family: Transfer RNA (tRNA) molecules are approximately 80 nucleotides in length. Their secondary structure includes four short double-helical elements and three loops (D, anti-codon, and T loops).
Source: RNAcentral
GCGGGAAUAGCUCAGUGGUAGAGCACGACCUUGCCAAGGUCGGGUGCGGGUUCGAUCCCCGUUUCCCGCUCCA